UACAGAGGGGGCAAGCGUUGUUCGGAAUUACUGGGCGUAAAGGGCGCGUAGGCGGCCUGCUAAGUCGAACGUGAAAUCCCUGGGCUCAACCCAGGAACUGCGUCCGAUACUGGUUGGCUUGAAUCCGGGAGAGGGAUGUGGAAUUCCAGGUGUAGCGGUGAAAUGCGUAGAUAUCUGGAGGAACACCGGUGGCGAAGGCGACAUCCUGGACCGGCAUUGACGCUGAGGCGCGAAAGCUAGGGGAGCAAACGGG
Molecule: ribosomal RNA, 253 nt
Filed under: uncultured bacterium
Lineage: Bacteria
Description: partial 16S ribosomal RNA
Rfam family: Bacterial small subunit ribosomal RNA
Source: RNAcentral